Molecule: ribosomal RNA, 798 nt
Filed under: Pleurosigma sp.
Lineage: Eukaryota; Bacillariophyta; Bacillariophyceae; Naviculales; Pleurosigmataceae
Description: partial large subunit ribosomal RNA
Rfam family: Eukaryotic large subunit ribosomal RNA
Source: RNAcentral
CAAGGAUUCCCAAAGUAAGGGCGACUGAAAAGGGAAGAGCUCACAAUGUGAAUCUGUGUGUCAUGCACUGAAUUGUAGUCUGUAGAUUUUGCCAUUAUGGGAGCAGGCUGAGUCCCUUGGAACAGGGCAGCUUAGAGGGUGACACUCCUGUGCGCCUGAACUGGCACGGCAAAAAUCGAUGAGUCGAGUUGUUUGGGAUUGCAGCUCCAAGACGAUGGUAAAUUCCAUCGAAAGCUAAAUACGGGUGGGAGACCGAUAGCGCACAAGUACCGUGAGGGAAAGAUGCAAAGAACUUUGAAAAGAGAGUUAAAGAGUACCUGAAAUUGUUGAAAGGGAAGCGAAGGAAACCAGUGUUGGCUUGAGCAUACUUCCCAGCUUGCUUGCAGGUUGGGCGUUGUGCUUUUGCUAUUGCCAGUGUUUGUUGCUUUCACCAUAAUCAAGCUCCUCUGGAUGCAUUGGUGUGAUGGAGAUGGUGGCAACGAAAGGCUGUCAAAAUGGUUUUCUUUUCCCCGUCUUGAAACACGGACCAAGGAGUUUAACAUGUGUGCGAGUGCAGAGGUUAGAAACCUCACCGCGAAAUGAAAGUGACAGUGGUUGGAGCUUUGUGGCACAAUCCGCCGGCCUCAAUCCUUUGGGAGAAUGGUCUGAGUGUGAGCAUGCAUGUUUGGACCCGAAAGAUGGUGAACUAUGCCUGAAUAGGGUGAAGCCAGGGGAAACUCUGGUGGAAGCUCGCAGCGAUUCUGACGUGCAAAUCGAUCGUCAAAUUUGGGCAUAGGGGCGAAAGACUAAUCGAACCAU